CAGCAAGAGGGGAGAGAACGCACGAGAUCACCCCAAGGCAAAAAUGCAGCUCUCCUUCCUCCGGCGAGCUCUCCCCCCGCGCCGGCCGCGCGCCGCCUCGCCUUUCCCCUUCACCGCCGUGAUCCGCCCUCGUCCCUUCUCCUCCGCUUCCGCCGCGCCGGCGCCGGCGCCGCCGCCGUCACCCAAGGACGCGCGCAAUGCGCCGCCGUCGUCGCCAAUGAUGCCGACGCGGCCUUGGGAGGAGGCGCUCGCGGCGUCGCAGCGCGCCUUCGGCCUGCCGCUCGCGGGGCGCGUCCUCGCCGCCUCGGCGACCGGGAACGCGGCCGUGUCCCCCGCCGCGGCCCACGCCUCGCUCGCGCUCGCCGCCGCCGCCGCGCGCGGCGCGACGCGGAGGCAGCUCCUGCAGGUGCUGGGCUGCGGCGGCGGGGGCAGGGGCGCCGCUGCCGACGCGGCGAACGUGGCGUCGCGCGUCGUCAAGCGGGUGCUCAAGGACCGGUCCCCCUCCGGCGGGCCGCUGCUGCGGUUCGCGGGAGGAAUCUGGGCGGACGCCUCGACGAAGCUAUCGCCGGGGUUCGUGGAGGCCGCCCGUAACGUGUACGGCUCCGCGGCGAGGACGGCCGACUUCGUGAACGAGCCAGAAGAUGCUGCAAAGCAAAUUAACUUGUGGGUUAUAGAGUCCACGAAACGUACAGUUACAUCGCUGCAACCGGAUGUGUCAUUUGACCAGAAUACUGGACUUGUUCUUGGCAGCGUACUAUAUUUUGGGGGAAGAUGGCUUCAUCAGGCUGAUAUAAGGAGCACUGCAGCGCAAAAGUUCUACUGCCUGGAUGGAGCUUAUGUUGAUGUCCCUUUUGUGGAAUAUGAUAGAACUCGACUUUUUGCUGUCCAUGAGGGAUUUAAAGUCAUUAAGCUGCCUUAUCUGCAAGGAAAGAAUGAACGGAAGUUCUCCAUGUAUAUCUUCCUGCCUGAUGCUCAUGAUGGUUUGUUUGAAUUAACCAAGAAAAUUUUUGCUGAACAAUUAUUCUUAGAACAACAUUUGCCAACAGAGAAGCGCCAUGUGGAUAUCAGGGUGCCCAAGUUCACAGUAUCUUUUCAGAUUGAUAUGAAGGAAAUUCUCAAAGAAAUGGGCCUUGAAUUACCCUUCCAUCGUGAUGCAGAUUUCACAGACAUGGUCAAGGAUGAUGAAUCCAGUGGCCCUUUGUUUUUAUCUGAUGUACUUCAUAAAGCGGUUUUGGAGGUUAAUGAUACACUGAUUGAAGAGGCUUCAUUCUCAAUUGGCAUAGGCAAACCUUCACCGGCGGAGCACUUUGUUGCCGACCACCCCUUCUUCUUUUUCAUUAGGGAAGAGGUGUCUGGCUCAAUAAUCUUCAUGGGGCAUAUACUGGACCCUUCAUCACAACCAUAACUUCUGGUUCUGGGCUUUUAUCAGCAAAUUAAGGUCAGAUUGUCUUCAAUGAUAGCAUGUAAAGCUGUGUCGCAAGCCUGGGACAGCAUUUGCCUCGUAUUGAUUAAAACAAGAAGAAUUUCUUUGCCACGGACACAUGGACUGAAAGGUAUUGCCAUCUCAUUGCUUGACAUUAUAGCUGGGGCAAGAAGCAUUAGGAAUGGUAAUGUCGUAAUGAUAGGUAUGCUCAAGUUGAGCAGACUAACCCUGCUGACAAAAUAAGACACAAUAUAGUUAAACAAAUAGUAGAAAUACUGAUGGUGGGAGAAUGCCCUUGAAAUGAAGAGUGGGAUGCAAAUUCAGGGGAAAAAAAGAUGCAGUUCUUUUGUUCAUUCCCCUUGCAUGUGAUGCGCUAAGAAAUGGUUGCUUCUUCGAUUUUGUUUGCAUAUUGCAACAUUCUGCUUCCAAUUUAAUCAGGGCAACCAUUUCUCGCUUAA
This is an RNA transcript of Panicum virgatum (switchgrass), 1881 nucleotides long. It is a transcript of the gene named probable non-inhibitory serpin-Z9, with no coding region annotated. NCBI's taxonomy places the organism in Eukaryota, Viridiplantae, Streptophyta, Magnoliopsida, Poales, Poaceae. The transcript is spliced from 4 exons. The record is from RefSeq and is a predicted model, not a curated record.